RNAcentral lists this ribosomal RNA (199 nucleotides) under uncultured bacterium. RNAcentral describes it as "partial 16S ribosomal RNA". It matches the Rfam family "Bacterial small subunit ribosomal RNA", at positions 328 to 539 of the family's 1533-position model. The record is from RNAcentral.
ACGCUCGACACCUACGGAGGCAGCAGUCGGGAAUAUUGCGCAAUGGAGGAAACUCUGACGCAGUGACGCCGCGUGCAGGAAGAAGGUUUUCGGAUUGUAAACUGCUUUAGACAGGGAAGAACAAAUGACAGUACCUGUAGAAUAAGCUCCGGCUAACUACGUGCCCGCAGCCGCGGUAAUCUGAGCGGGCUGGCAAGGC